CAGUCGAACGGCAGCACGGGUGCUUGCACCUGGUGGCGAGUGGCGAACGGGUGAGUAAUACAUCGGAACGUACCUUAUCGUGGGGGAUAACGCAGCGAAAGCUGUGCUAAUACCGCAUACGCCCUGAGGGGGAAAGCGGGGGAUCGAAAGACCUCGCGCGAUUAGAGCGGCCGAUGCCUGAUUAGCUUGUUGGUGGGGUAAAAGCCCACCAAGGCGACGAUCAGUAGCUGGUCUGAGAGGACGAUCAGCCACACUGGGACUGAGACACGGCCCAGACUCCUACGGGAGGCAGCAGUGGGGAAUUUUGGACAAUGGGGGAAACCCUGAUCCAGCAAUGCCGCGUGAGUGAAGAAGGCCUUCGGGUUGUAAAGCUCUUUUGUCAGGGAAGAAACACCGGCUCUAACACAGUCCGGGAAUGACGGUACCUGAAGAAUAAGCACCGGCUAACUACGUGCCAGCAGCCGCGGUAAUACGUAGGGUGCGAGCGUUAAUCGGAAUUACUGGGCGUAAAGCGUGCGCAGGCGGUUAUACAAGACAGGCGUGAAAUCCCCGGGCUAAACCUGGGAAUGGCGCCUGUGACUGUAUAGCUAGAGUGUGUCAGAGGGGGGUAGAAUUCCACGUGUAGCAGUGAAAUGCGUAGAUAUGUGGAGGAAUACCAAUGGCGAAGGCAGCCCCCUGGGAUAACACUGACGCUCAUGCACGACAGCGUGGGGAGCGAACAGGAUUAGAUACCCUGGUAGUCCACGCCCUAAACGAUGCUGACUAGUUGUUCGGGAUUUACAUCCUGAGUAACGUAGCUAACGCGUGAAGUCAGCCGCCUGGGGAGUACGGUCGCAAGAUUAAAACUCAAAGGAAUUGACGG
This 862-nucleotide ribosomal RNA is filed under the name uncultured bacterium. RNAcentral describes it as "bacterial SSU rRNA". It matches the Rfam family "Bacterial small subunit ribosomal RNA", at positions 59 to 916 of the family's 1533-position model. The record is from RNAcentral.